GUGCUCGCCUUAGCAGCACAUAGACUAAAAUUGAAACAAUACGAAGAAAAUGAGCAUGGCCCCUGCGCAAGGAUGACAUGCAAAUUCACGAAGCAUUCCAUAUUUUU
Onychomys torridus (southern grasshopper mouse) is the source of this 107-nucleotide small nuclear RNA. Lineage: Eukaryota; Metazoa; Chordata; Mammalia; Rodentia; Cricetidae. The record is from RefSeq and is a predicted model, not a curated record.